AUGGAGAGUUUGAUCCUGGCUCAGGAUGAACGCUGGCGGCGUGCCUAAUACAUGCAAGUCGAGCGAACAGACGAGGAGCUUGCUCCUUUGACGUUAGCGGCGGACGGGUGAGUAACACGUGGGUAACCUACCUAUAAGACUGGGAUAACUUCGGGAAACCGGAGCUAAUACCGGAUAAUAUUUCGAACCGCAUGGUUCGAUAGUGAAAGAUGGCUCUGCUAUCACUUAUAGAUGGACCUGCGCCGUAUUAGCUAGUUGGUAAGGUAACGGCUUACCAAGGCAACGAUACGUAGCCGACCUGAGAGGGUGAUCGGCCACACUGGAACUGAGACACGGCCCAGACUCCUACGGGAGGCAGCAGUGGGGAAUCUUGGACAAUGGGCGCAAGCCUGAUCCAGCCAUUCCGCGUGGAUGAUGAAGGCCCUAGGGUUGUAAAAUCCUUUCGGCAGGGAAGAUAAUGACGGUACCUGCUAAAGAAGCCCCGGCUAACUCCGUGCCAGCAGCCGCGGUAAUACGGAGGGGGCUAGCGUUGUUCGGAAUUACUGGGCGUAAAGCGCACGUAGGCGGAUCA
This 571-nucleotide ribosomal RNA is filed under the name Chrysotila carterae. RNAcentral describes it as "partial Bacterial small subunit ribosomal RNA". It matches the Rfam family "Bacterial small subunit ribosomal RNA", at positions 1 to 582 of the family's 1533-position model. Lineage: Eukaryota; Haptophyta; Isochrysidales; Isochrysidaceae. The record is from RNAcentral.